This 22-nucleotide microRNA is filed under the name Gallid alphaherpesvirus 2. RNAcentral describes it as "mdv1-miR-M10-5p". Its record names the gene mdv1-miR-M10-5p. Lineage: Duplodnaviria; Heunggongvirae; Peploviricota; Herviviricetes; Herpesvirales; Orthoherpesviridae. The record is from miRBase by way of RNAcentral.
GCGUUGUCUCGUAGAGGUCCAG